ACACAGCCCACCGCAGGCAACUGGAACUGAAACCCAGGACUCCGUCUCUUGCCAGUGAAAGUUAUGUUAGGAAGCAGUGAGGGGUCUAAAGCAGUAUGAAAGGCAAAGAGAAAAGGUGAUUGUUCCCUCUUGAAUGGCCCUUGGAAGCUGAGUAUCUGGAUUCACCCUCCCUAGGGAAUUUCCCGAUUGUCUUGCAGGCUUACACACUCAUCAAGAUGACAAAAAUAAUGACAGUAACACUUAUGUGGAACUUGACUUUUUCCCAGGUGCUGCUCUAAGCAUUUACUGUGUUUGUUUUACAGGAAGGAAGACUGUACACAGAGAAUAAAUAACUUGGCCAAGCCAUUCAGCUAGGAAGUUGUAGAUCCUAAAUUAAGAGUUCAAGGUCUUAAUGGCUACUCUAUGCGGCCUCUCAUAGUCUUUUCAAGGGUUUUGGAGAAGAAUAAAAGAUCAGGUAUGGCUUCUCCCUCCCCCAGCUCUCUAUUGUUCCCUAAAGGAUUAUUCAUUCGUUCAUUCAUUCCUACAUCCUCCCAUUUAUUCCAGUCAUCCACAGAUGUUUGAGUGGUUACAAUGUGCCAGCCUCCCUUCUAGGUACUGGAGAUAAAGUGGGACAAGAGAGGUGAGGUCUGGACCCUUGGCACUUUCACGAUAAAAUACACAGGUAAACAUUUGCCUUUAGGGCCCCCUGUGAUUACUUCCACUCUUGCAGAUAAGAGGAUAAGGCCUCUUCAGCUUGUUCACAGCAGCUGAAAAGCAAAGCCUCUCUGUCAGUAGAGGUAAAAGAUUAAGAAUGCAGAGUCCGAUGGGGCAUUACCACAUGAUUAUGAAUUAAUGCAAUUUUCCAUCUUUUAUUUCCAAUCCAGGCAUUGCUUUUGAACUCAGUCAUCUUUUCCCCCUUGCCCACUAGUUGCUUGUGAUACAUCAGUAUCCUCACUCACCCCCAACUCCAGAGGCUGAAACUAACUCUCCUCCUCCCUCUUCCAACUGCUGAGGAAGAUGAGUCAAUGGUGUUACUGGACCCUGUGAACUGAUGCUGUGAAGAGAGGCCAUUUAACACGGACUACGGGGAAUGGUGCCACAGGGGGCUCAGUGCUGCCCUUCACUCUCAGCAUUUUGCUCACUCAGCAUUGGUAAGCCACAUCAGCCUCGGUGAAGGAAGUCUGGAGAGUUAAGCCUGUGCUUCAUCUCCAUGCCAGCACCAUGGCACUCAUUGUACAUUCAGCAAGCCCCAAGGAAGCUGGCAGGAGGCUGGCUGACAUCUACGGGACAGGUCAAUUUGUUCUCUGGAGGGCACUCCAUGAGACGCAAAUAUCUUCACACCCUGUGCCCAUUUCAAGAGACUCUCUCACAUGCCUCCCCCACCUUGACCUCUGUGUCACCAGUCUUUCAAUCUUGUUUUUUCCAAAUCCUUAAGGUAGCAGCUGGCCAACACAUUAGCCACCACUGAUGAGUCAGUGUAGAUCUUACAUUGGGCCAUCUCUUUUUUCUUGCAAAAUAGAAAAGCAGAUGUUCUGCUCAAAGUUCUGUUUGUCAGUAAGAUUUCCCUUUCUGCUGUGUUUCAGGACAUCCCUGGGAGGGACUCUGAUGCAGCAGCCAUCUACUUAUUGCUAGUGCCAGCUUACUUUGCAUAACAUUGACUCCUUUCCCUCAUCUGUUGCCUAGUUGUAGGAAACUCCUUGUGAAGCUAUAGGUGUGCACUGAGGGAGAGACAUUGAGUCAAUGGGAGCAGGCAUCAUAGAGUCUAAGUUUUCUGCUAGUCUGAGUUUCUUGUGCCUUGUGGACCUGGUGGGCUUAUCUCCUUUAUCAUAUAGAUACAAUUUUCGCUUAAUAAUAGCAUGCUCCUGCAAAUGCCCAAUUUUAUCAUGUGGUAGAUUAGGCAACACUCAGUUUAUUAGGGUAGCUAGGUUGUGCAGUUACUUGAUGUUAUGGAUUGAAUUGUGUCCCUCCAAAAGAUAUAUUAGAAUCCCAACCUUUAGGACUUCAGAGUGUGACAUUAUUUGAAUAUAGGGUCUUUACAGAGUUAAUCAAUUUUUUUGAAUCUUAUAUAGCUUUUAUUUCAG
RNAcentral lists this long non-coding RNA (2060 nucleotides) under Homo sapiens (human). RNAcentral describes it as "HSALNT0306873". The record is from RNAcentral. Lineage: Eukaryota; Metazoa; Chordata; Mammalia; Primates; Hominidae.